RNAcentral lists this ribosomal RNA (373 nucleotides) under uncultured bacterium. Its description in RNAcentral is "bacterial SSU rRNA". It matches the Rfam family "Bacterial small subunit ribosomal RNA", at positions 30 to 406 of the family's 1533-position model. The record is from RNAcentral.
CUUGAACGCUGGCGGCAUGCCUUACACAUGCAAGUCGAACGGCAGCGCGGGGCAACCUGGCGGCGAGUGGCGAACGGGUGAGUAAUAUAUCGGAACGUGCCCUGGAGUGGGGGAUAACGCAGCGAAAGUUGCGCUAAUACCGCAUACGAUCUAAGGAUGAAAGUGGGGGAUCGCAAGACCUCAUGCUCGUGGAGCGGCCGAUAUCUGAUUAGCUAGUUGGUAGGGUAAAAGCCUACCAAGGCGACGAUCAGUAGCUGGUCUGAGAGGACGACCAGCCACACUGGGACUGAGACACGGCCCAGACUCCUACGGGAGGCAGCAGUGGGGAAUUUUGGACAAUGGGGCAACCCUGAUCCAGCAAUGCCGCGUGAGU